Molecule: ribosomal RNA, 252 nt
Filed under: uncultured bacterium
Lineage: Bacteria
Description: partial 16S ribosomal RNA
Rfam family: Bacterial small subunit ribosomal RNA
Source: RNAcentral
UACGUAGGGUGCGAGCGUUGUCCGGAAUUAUUGGGCGUAAAGAGCUCGUAGGCGCCUGUCGCGUCGGAUGUGAAAACUCGGGGCUUAACCCCGAGCCUGCAUUCGAUACGGGCAGGCUAGAGUUCGGCAGGGGAGACUGGAAUUCCUGGUGUAGCGGUGAAAUGCGCAGAUAUCAGGAGGAACACCGGUGGCGAAGGCGGUCUGCUGGGCAGUUGCUGACACUGAGGCGCGACAGCGUGGGGAGCAAACAGG